UGGGGAAUUUUGGACAAUUGGGCGAAAGCCUGAUCCAGCAAUGCCGCGUGUGUGAAGAAGGCCUUCGGGUUGUAAAGCACUUUUGUCCGGAAAGAAAUCCUUGGCUCUAAUACAGUCGGGGGAUGACGGUACCGGAAGAAUAAGCACCGGCUAACUACGUGCCAGCAGCCGCGGUAAUACGUAGGGUGCAAGCGUUAAUCGGAAUUACUGGGCGUAAAGCGUGCGCAGGCGGUUUGCUAAGACCGAUGUGAAAUCCCCGGGCUCAACCUGGGAACUGCAUUGGUGACUGGCAGGCUAGAGUAUGGCAGAGGGGGGUAGAAUUCCACGUGUAGCAGUGAAAUGCGUAGAGAUGUGGAGGAAUACCGAUGGCGAAGGCAGCCCCCUGGGCAAUACUGACGCUCAUGCACGAAAGCGUGGGGAGCAAACAGGAUUAGAUACCCUGGUAGUCCACGCCCUAAACGAUGUCAACUAGUUGUUGGGGAUUCAUUUCCUUAGUAACGUAGCUAACGCGUGAAGUUGACCGCCUGGGGAGUACGUCGCAA
This 542-nucleotide ribosomal RNA is filed under the name uncultured bacterium. Its description in RNAcentral is "partial 16S ribosomal RNA". It matches the Rfam family "Bacterial small subunit ribosomal RNA", at positions 355 to 891 of the family's 1533-position model. The record is from RNAcentral.